CCUACGGGUGGCUGCAGUGGGGAAUAUUGGACAAUGGGGGGAACCCUGAUCCAGCCAUGCCGCGUGUGUGAAGAAGGCCCUCGGGUUGUAAAGCACUUUCAGUGAGGAAGAACGCCUGGUGGUUAAUACCCAUCAGGAAAGACAUCACUCACAGAAGAAGCACCGGCUAACUCCGUGCCAGCAGCCGCGGUAAUACGGAGGGUGCGAGCGUUAAUCGGAAUUACUGGGCGUAAAGCGCGCGUAGGUGGCUUGAUAAGCCGGUUGUGAAAGCCCCGGGCCCGACCUGGGAACGGCAUCCGGAACUGUCAAGCUAGAGUGCAGGAGAGGAAGGUAGAAUUCCCGGUGUAGCGGUGAAAUGCGUAGAGAUCGGGAGGAAUACCAGUGGCGAAGGCGGCCUUCUGGACUGACACUGACACUGAGGUGCGAAAGCGUGGGUAGCAAACAGGAUUAGAUACCCGAGUAGUC
Molecule: ribosomal RNA, 465 nt
Filed under: Vreelandella stevensii
Lineage: Bacteria; Pseudomonadati; Pseudomonadota; Gammaproteobacteria; Oceanospirillales; Halomonadaceae
Description: partial 16S ribosomal RNA
Rfam family: Bacterial small subunit ribosomal RNA
Source: RNAcentral